CAGUAGCCGCGGUAAGACAGAGGAUGCAGGCGUUAUCCGGAAUGAUUGGGCGUAAAGCGUCUGUAGGUGGCUUUUCAAGUCCGCCGUCAAAUCCCAUCGGCUCAACCGUGGAACUGCCUCUAAUACUGUGUUGCUUGAGGGAGAACGGGGCAUUCGGAACUUCCGGUGGAGCGGUGAAAUGUGUUGAUAUCGGAAGGAACGCCGGUGGCGAAAGCGGAAUGCUGGGUCUCUUCUGACGCUGAGGUGCGAAAGCUAGGGUAGCGAACGGGAUUAGAUACCCCAGUAGGCCCUGUCUCUUAUA
This 301-nucleotide ribosomal RNA is filed under the name uncultured bacterium. RNAcentral's name for it is "partial 16S ribosomal RNA". It matches the Rfam family "Bacterial small subunit ribosomal RNA", at positions 509 to 807 of the family's 1533-position model. The record is from RNAcentral.